Long non-coding RNA from Spinacia oleracea (spinach), 1072 nucleotides. RefSeq lists it as uncharacterized. The transcript is spliced from 3 exons. Lineage: Eukaryota; Viridiplantae; Streptophyta; Magnoliopsida; Caryophyllales; Amaranthaceae. The record is from RefSeq and is a predicted model, not a curated record.
CAGUUUCUUACUCCCUUCUUCUCCCUCACGCCACUUUCCCUUUUUCUCCAUGGAAGUCAAGCUUACUUUCCACUUGUCACCACCCUUGUUCAUCUCAAUUUGACUCAUCAAUUCCAUGACACUAAUCAGAAUUUCUAUGCCUUAGUCAUCAAUUCUGAAUUCCUCUUCACAUUUGUCCAUCAAUUAAGCUUCACAUUUGUCAAUCAAUGGAGCUUCAAUUGAUGUCAUCUCCUAUGUCAUCCAACACCAUUCAUCACUAUAAAUAGCCAGCAAAUUGAACCAGAAACCAUCAAGUUGAAUUCACCUUCAACCAAGCUCUAACCACCAUUAAAAACAAUGGAGUUUUCACCAUUUUCAGUACCUUCGAUUCGACUUUUAACCACCACCAUCACUACCGCCUUCUGUUCUUGCCGCCACCAUUGACCACCCUCGGCCUCCAUCUUCCGUCCCGCCGCCGCCCUGUCACCAGACCAACCAGCCGCCUCCAGCAACGCCCUGCAACCUCCCCUGCCUCCCUCCUCACUCGAAAUCCCUGUCCUCUUCCGGUUCGCACAGCCACCAUCAUCGCCGCCCUUGCUCCCUCCCUUCCACCUCGCCGCCACACCACCUAGCCACCAAGUCGCCGUCGCCCCUUUCCCUUCCUUCCUUCCUCCUUGUUCGUGUCUCUGUGCAACCAAUUCCCAAAAUUUGGAAUCAAUUUCCAAAUUAAAUUGUACUGAGUAGUCAGUACUCUUAUUCCCAACAAUAAGGUCAACCCACUUUACUAUUAUUUAUUUUUGGAAAUUGGACUCGGAGCUCAGGAAGAACGGUCCAUCGAACAGGGAAUAUAAACUACGGUUGAGGUACGAAGAAGAUCAUGGGAUGCCUUAGAGUGAGGAUGCAACCAUCAAAUUCACGGUCGAUAGAUAUAACUAUGUCUCACUAGUAAUAAUGGAUGUAUUAAUUAAACUCUAAGUAUUAAGUUAGAUUUUAAUAUUUAUGUUUAAUCAAUGUUAGGAAUAUUUAUUAAAGUUCAUUUAGAUUUCGGUGUAAAUAUUAAAGAAUUAAUCGAAGUGAAGUAUAAUUACAGUUA